Molecule: transfer RNA, 76 nt
Filed under: Dehalococcoidia bacterium
Lineage: Bacteria; Bacillati; Chloroflexota; Dehalococcoidia
Description: tRNA-Arg
Rfam family: tRNA
About the family: Transfer RNA (tRNA) molecules are approximately 80 nucleotides in length.
Source: RNAcentral
GCCCCAGUAGCUCAAAGGAUAGAGCAACGGCCUUCUAAGCCGUAGGUUACGGGUUCGAGUCCUGUCUGGGGUACCA